GCUCGGUUGGUGUAGUCCGGCCAAUCAUGUUGGCCUUUCGACGAACGCGGUACGUCGCCGUGCCGGUUCGGAAGACAGCCGACGACCAGGGUUCAAAUCCCUGACCGAGCA
Molecule: transfer RNA, 111 nt
Filed under: Halorubrum cibi
Lineage: Archaea; Methanobacteriati; Methanobacteriota; Halobacteria; Halobacteriales; Haloferacaceae
Description: tRNA_Pseudo_Pseudo
Rfam family: tRNA
About the family: Transfer RNA (tRNA) molecules are approximately 80 nucleotides in length. Their secondary structure includes four short double-helical elements and three loops (D, anti-codon, and T loops).
Source: RNAcentral